UGCCUACGGGGGUCAGCAGUGAGGAAUAUUGGUCAAUGGGCGAGAGCCUGAACCAGCCAAGUCGCGUGAGGGAAGACGGUCCUAUGGAUUGUAAACCUCUUUUGCCGGGGAGCAAAAAGCGGUACGUGUACCGCAUCGAGAGUACCCGGAGAAAAAGCAUCGGCUAACUCCGUGCCAGCAGCCGCGGUAAUACGGAGGAUGCGAGCGUUAUCCGGAUUUAUUGGGUUUAAAGGGUGCGUAGGCGGAUUUUUAAGUCAGCGGUAAAAUGUCCGGGCUCAACCCGGGCCGGCCGUUGAAACUGGGGG
RNAcentral lists this ribosomal RNA (305 nucleotides) under uncultured bacterium. Its description in RNAcentral is "bacterial SSU rRNA". It matches the Rfam family "Bacterial small subunit ribosomal RNA", at positions 335 to 639 of the family's 1533-position model. The record is from RNAcentral.